GGGGCUGAUCUUGGAAUCGACACUUAAGAAAAGAUAACGUUAUGAUGCAAGUCAAGAUUGAAUCGUUCUUGUAAAUAAGAUUCAAACUUUAAAUGCAAACAACAUUGCACCUUUUUCUCGUCAACUUGCAAUAGCGUAACCGAUCUAGGAAACGUAAAACCAAGUUAAUUAUUACUUUUAAUAUCAGAUUAUGAAGAGAGUAGCAUACUCUGAUUUUAAAAUUCCAUCUCUCACUUGUGACAUAUAGAUUUCAAAGCAACCGCUCUUUACGAUUUGAAUAAAGAUAAACUUGUGAAUGAGUAAGUUAGUUCUUCUCAAGUGGACGUGG
Molecule: transfer-messenger RNA, 328 nt
Filed under: Proteomonas sulcata
Lineage: Eukaryota; Cryptophyceae; Pyrenomonadales; Geminigeraceae
Description: partial transfer-messenger RNA
Rfam family: transfer-messenger RNA
About the family: Bacterial tmRNA, also known as 10Sa RNA or SsrA, is named for its dual tRNA and mRNA-like properties. Its role is to liberate the mRNA from a stalled ribosome.
Source: RNAcentral